GACAUGGGAUGUUCGUUUAUUUGGGCAAAUGUGUCUCGUUAGGGUCAUUCUGAAAAGAAGCCCAGUGUGCAGUCAUUAGCCCCUGGGGUAGCGUCACUACUAAGUGGUUGGGGAGAAGUCAGGGAAGAGGAAGAGGUGGCGUUCCCCAGCCUCACCUGUGGAGACCCCAGCGAAGCGGGGGCAGGGAGGGAUGAUGAACCCUCAUCCUUUACCUCCUUCUCCAACCCUCCACUAGCGCUGCUUUCCUGGUCAAACCUGCAUCUUCACCGGGUCAUGCCCCAAGGCCUCUGGGGGACUUCCACAGUGGUAAGGAGGGCUGCCCUUUUUUUUUUUUUUUUUUUUGGUUGUGGCUGAGAAUGCUGGAGAUGCUUAGUUCUCUCCCUCACAAGGUAGGCCACAAAUUCUUGGUGGUGCCCUCACAUCUGGGGUCUUCAGGCACCAGCCAUGCCUGCCGAGGAGUGCUGUCAGGACAGACCGUGUCCGUGCUAGGCCCAGGCACAGCCCAACCACUCCUCAUCCAACUCUCUCCCAGGUCUCUGGUCCCGAUGGGCAAGGAUGACCCCUCCAGUGGCUGGUACCCCACCAUCCCACUACCCCUCACAUGCUCUCACUCUCCAUCAGGUCCCCAAUCCUGGCU
Molecule: small RNA, 637 nt
Filed under: Pan troglodytes (chimpanzee)
Lineage: Eukaryota; Metazoa; Chordata; Mammalia; Primates; Hominidae
Description: sense intronic
Source: RNAcentral